UUUAUGGAGAGUUUGAUCCUGGCUCAGGAUGAACGCUGGCGGCGUGCCUAAUACAUGCAAGUCGAGCGAACAGAUGAGGAGCUUGCUCCUCUGACGUUAGCGGCGGACGGGUGAGUAACACGUGGAUAACUUACCUAUAAGACUGGGAUAACUACGGGAAACCGGAGCUAAUACCGGAUAAUAUAUUGAACCGCAUGGUUCAAUAGUGAAAGACGGUUUUGCUGUCACUUAUAGAUGGAUCCGCGCCGCAUUAGCUAGUUGGUAAGGUAACGGCUUACCAA
This 281-nucleotide ribosomal RNA is filed under the name Staphylococcus epidermidis. Its description in RNAcentral is "partial 16S ribosomal RNA". It matches the Rfam family "Bacterial small subunit ribosomal RNA", at positions 1 to 271 of the family's 1533-position model. The record is from RNAcentral. Lineage: Bacteria; Bacillati; Bacillota; Bacilli; Caryophanales; Staphylococcaceae.